Molecule: ribosomal RNA, 253 nt
Filed under: uncultured bacterium
Lineage: Bacteria
Description: partial 16S ribosomal RNA
Rfam family: Bacterial small subunit ribosomal RNA
Source: RNAcentral
GACGUAGGGGGCCAGCGUUGCUCGGAAUUACUGGGCGUAAAGCGUGCGCAGGCGGCUUUGCAAGACAGAUGUGAAAUCCCCGGGCUUAACCUGGGAACUGCAUUUGUGACUGCAUGGCUGGAGUGCGGCAGAGGGGGAUGGAAUUCCGCGUGUAGCAGUGAAAUGCGUAGAUAUGCGGAGGAACACCGAUGGCGAAGGCAAUCCCCUGGGCCUGCACUGACGCUCAUGCACGAAAGCGUGGGGAGCAAACAGG